GGGUUGUGAGGUUAAGCGACUAAGCGUACACGGUGGAUGCCCUGGCAGUCAGAGGCGAUGAAGGGCGUGCUAAUCUGCGAUAAGCGCCGGUAAGGUGAUAUGAACCGUUAUAACCGGCGAUACCCGAAUGGGGAAACCCAGUGUGAUUCGUCACACUAUCAUUAACUGAAUCCAUAGGUUAAUGAGGCGAACCGGGGGAACUGAAACAUCUAAGUACCCCGAGGAAAAGAAAUCAACCGAGAUUCCCCCAGUAGCGGCGAGCGAACGGGGAGGAGCCCAGAGCCUGAAUCAGCAUGUGUGUUAGUGGAAGCGUCUGGAAAGGCGCGCGAUACAGGGUGACAGCCCCGUACACAAAAGCGCAUGUGCUGUGAGCUCGAUGAGUAGGGCGGGACACGUGGUAUCCUGUCUGAAUAUGGGGGGACCAUCCUCCAAGGCUAAAUACUCCUGACUGACCGAUAGUGAACCAGUACCGUGAGGGAAAGGCGAAAAGAACCCCGGCGAGGGGAGUGAAAAAGAACCUGAAACCGUGUACGUACAAGCAGUGGGAGCACAGGUUUACCUGUGUGACUGCGUACCUUUUGUAUAAUGGGUCAGCGACUUAUAUUCUGUAGCAAGGUUAACCGAAUAGGGGAGCCGGAGGGAAACCGAGUCUUAACCGGGCGUUAAGUUGCAGGGUAUAGACCCGAAACCCGGUGAUCUAGCCAUGGGCAGGUUGAAGGUUGGGUAACACUAACUGGAGGACCGAACCGACUAAUGUUGAAAAAUUAGCGGAUGACCUGUGGCUGGGGGUGAAAGGCCAAUCAAACCGGGAGAUAGCUGGUUCUCCCCGAAAGCUAUUUAGGUAGCGCCUCGUGAAUUCAUCUCCGGGGGUAGAGCACUGUUUCGGCUAGGGGGCCAUCCCGGCUUACCAACCCGAUGCAAACUGCGAAUACCGGAGAAUGUUAUCACGGGAGACACACGGCGGGUGCUAACGUCCGUCGUGAAGAGGGAAACAACCCAGACCGCCAGCUAAGGUCCCAAAGUCAUGGUUAAGUGGGAAACGAUGUGGGAAGGCCCAGACAGCCAGGAUGUUGGCUUAGAAGCAGCCAUCAUUUAAAGAAAGCGUAAUAGCUCACUGGUCGAGUCGGCCUGCGCGGAAGAUGUAACGGGGCUAAACCAUGCACCGAAGCUGCGGCAGCGACGCUGUGCGUUGUUGGGUAGGGGAGCGUUCUGUAAGCCUGCGAAGGUGGCCUGUGAGGGUUGCUGGAGGUAUCAGAAGUGCGAAUGCUGACAUAAGUAACGAUAAAGCGGGUGAAAAGCCCGCUCGCCGGAAGACCAAGGGUUCCUGUCCAACGUUAAUCGGGGCAGG
This 1348-nucleotide ribosomal RNA is filed under the name Salmonella enterica subsp. enterica serovar Mbandaka. RNAcentral's name for it is "partial 23S ribosomal RNA". It matches the Rfam family "Bacterial large subunit ribosomal RNA", at positions 1 to 1378 of the family's 2925-position model. The record is from RNAcentral. Lineage: Bacteria; Pseudomonadati; Pseudomonadota; Gammaproteobacteria; Enterobacterales; Enterobacteriaceae.